AGUGAACGCUGGCGGCAGGCCUAACACAUGCAAGUCGAACGGCAGCACAAGAGAGCUUGCUCUCUGGGUGGCGAGUGGCGGACGGGUGAGGAAUGCAUCGGAAUCUGCCCAUUUGUGGGGGAUAACCUCGGGAAACCGGGACUAAUACCACAUACGACCUACGGGUGAAAGCAGGGGAUCUUCGGACCUUGCGCAGAUGGAUGAGCCGAUGCCGGAUUAGCUAGUUGGAGGGGUAAAGGCCCACCAAGGCGACGAUCCGUAGCUGGUCUGAGAGGAUGAUCAGCCACCCGGGGGCGGAGACACGGCCCAGACUCCUAGGGGAGGCAGCGGUGGGGAAUUUGGGAAAAGGGGCGAAAGCCUGACCCAGCCAUGCCGGGUGUGGGAAGAAGGCCUUCGGGUGGUAAAGCCUUUUUGUGGGGAAAAAAAAGCGGCCGUUUAAUACCCGGUUGGAAUGACGGUACCAAAAGAAGAAGCCCCGGCUAACUUCGU
Molecule: ribosomal RNA, 489 nt
Filed under: uncultured bacterium
Lineage: Bacteria
Description: partial 16S ribosomal RNA
Rfam family: Bacterial small subunit ribosomal RNA
Source: RNAcentral